UGGAAUUCCGGUGGACAACAUGGUGGUCCC
Molecule: non-coding RNA, 30 nt
Filed under: Rattus norvegicus (Norway rat)
Lineage: Eukaryota; Metazoa; Chordata; Mammalia; Rodentia; Muridae
Source: RNAcentral